AGUUCAGAGGGGAAGCUGCUUCCGGUUGCAACGAGCAGCCUUCUGGGAAAUGUAGUUCGAGUCCGGGCUGGCGCAGACGCAGUGCUGGGCAUUCUAGGAGGCUGGGUGGGGCCAGCUUCACGUAGUAAAACCCCUCCCCUCGUUCUCCGGCGCACAGAUUCCAGCUGGCCGCGAUGGUGGAGCCGCCGGAAGGAAGUGAAGGGAGGACCACGUGAUCCCAGUCACCAAGCACCUGGGGCCCCUCCGCUGAUGACAGUGGGGCGGGGCCAGACACUCCCACAGGAAGGGGCAGUCACCCUUCUUCCCUUGGCCUUUAUUGAGACAGAGUAGUUUUUGAACGUGGCCUUGUGAGCCGGAAGUCUGUCAGUUUCUGCAUGAACAGUUGCCCCCUGCCUUGCAGAUCUCAGCUGGAGAGCGUCGGCGCCACGCCCCCGGGCCCGGGGUCUCCACUGCGAGAGGGCAGACCCUUCAGCUCCUUCUUGAGGUCUCCGCUGCGAGAGGGCAGACCCCUUAGCUCCCCCGAGACUGGGGUACCAGCUACGGGCAGACCCCUCCGCUCCCCCAGCCCGGGGUCUCCGCUGCGAGAGGGCAGGCCCCUCGGCGCCCCUGGCCUGGCCGUGCUGGGUGGCCUUGCCCCUGCUCCCUCCCACGUCUUUCUCAGUCCAGCCUCUCUGGAGUCAGUGUUAACAGGAGCCAGAGGCUGGCAGUCCAAACCUGAUUUCUGCCAAACGGCUUUCCAGUUUUCUCUGCUGUGUCUGGCACAAAGGGACCCUCCCCAGCCGUUUGUGUUCCUGAGCUUGUCCAGUCCGGGGCCCUGCACUUGCCUGUCCUAGUCCUUUCCGUCCAGUCUGUUCCCCUUCAUCUUUUAUCACCUGAGGCAGAGACAGACAAGCAAAACCUCGUGAACCACAUACAGUGUGUGUGACACCAACCAGCGACUCCAGCAAUGUCCACGGAAAGAAGGAGGCACGCAGGCCUCGGAGGGACUGCCCCUGAGAUCAGGGGCCUCCCAGGUAGAAGGUCAUCUCCACCAGCCAGUGUGCCGGGACUGGACUCCCUGCCUCAGUUGUUUUCCUUUGUCACAAGAGAGGAUCCAGCCUGGAGGGAGAGAGGGUUGGUCUCCCCGCUGGUGUAGACAAAAUGAGCCAAUAAAACCUGGAAAGGAGGGAAGAGGAGAAGGCCUCAGCUGGGGCACAGACAUGGGUCUGGGUCAGAUAACUUAGAGCUGAUGGAAUUCCCCUCGUGUUAAUGGUUGUGGGAGAGGGUUGAACCAGCCUUUGGCUUUGGCCCAUCACACAGAUCUCAGGGGAGAGGAGCCUUGGAAAGAUCCCGCUGGGGAGGCUUUGGCUCCAAGCUCUUUCUGACACUGCAAAGUCCCCACUUUGGCCUUGUCUCAUUUCUGGGGCGUUGGUGGAAAACACAGCCUCUGGAUCUGGGGAGAGCCUGGGAGCCGGCCUGACUCUAGGAGGAAGGAGGCUGUCAGCGCAGUGGAAGCCUUUGUGGACAUUUUCUCCUUGAAGCAUAUUUAGAACCCCUGGGAAAACAGGAUUGUGUAGUUUGAACCUUACCUUGUGUGGCUUAGAGCCUGGAUCUGUUUGCUGCUUUGACACCAGAUCUGUGGCUCAGUAAGGACAUGAAGGUCCCCCUGACCCCAGACACCUUCAGGGGAGGGAGCAGUCUAGAGGGGGAGGCCAGGAAUUUUCUGAGAUCUACCUUUCAGCACCCUGUAAGUGCUAUAUUUGGAAACUGCCUCCCAGCUGGCCCCUCUGCUGGUUUCCUUAUUCCUGUCUGAACUCUAUGGAAUGUAAAGCUUACUAAAAGCUCUGGGAGCAGCCCUUAUUUCAGCUCUUACCUCAGCCAGAGGAUGCAACAAGCUUCUUUCUAAAAGCUGUUACCUCAGAAACAGAUGUGUGCGACAAAGACCUUUACCUAAAUAAAAAUUCAGAGGUUUCUCUAGGUAGAAACACAAGUUUUAUUUAGCAAGUCUCCCACGAGAAUUGGGCAUCACCUACCCAGGGUAGACUGGCAUAGGGAGGCAGCCUACAGACAGCAGAUAAGGAGUUAUAUACCCUUAGACAAACAAUUCUAAGGAACCACCCCCCUUUUUACCUGCCCAAAGACAAGGUCCCAAGUCCCUUACUUGCUGAACUAUUUUUUGCUUUGCUGGGACAUGAGAUCCCUCUGCCUUCCCUGGAACUGAGAUCUCUCCACCUUCUACCUUUGGAAUUGGGAUCUCCUUGCCUUCCUCCCUCACAGCUGAGAUCACUGCUGCCUUCUCUUGGACCUGAGAUCUCUGCCUUCCACACACCAGCUCUGUGGGUGCAGGUCCCUCCUAGGUCUGAGCCUCACAGAUCUGCUGCCUGUUCAGGCCAUGGGAUCUCAUCCUUCUCCUCUGACCACUUGGUCGACAGUAAUGGUACCGUGAGGUCAGAUGGAACUGAAGUAAUGGGAGAAAACACCAGCCCACUCCUACAAUGCUUAGUGACUCAGGCGCCCCAGGAUCCGUUUUUUCCUGGUAUCCUAACCUUGACGGGGUUGGGUAAGUUUCCCCUAUUCCCAGCUUCCAUGGACCUCCCACUAGUUUGGUUGAAGUCUGAAAGAAAAUUCCCUUUACGCUAGAUCUGGGGUCGAGGACUCCGGCUAACAAGACUGCUGCCUCUUAUAUGCCAAGCCAUUGCCAAUGUAGUGAUCACAAGUACUGCUAUCGCUGAUGUCAGUUAACUAAAGAAAGCUCCACAUUAUGUUGUCUGUAAUGGGGUUCUUUUGACCACUCAAAGUUACUUUAUCUUAAAACCAAAUUAAGUUUAAAGGCCAACAAAACGUCUAGCCAGAAGUGGGAAUGUUUUUAUCAUUGGGUUGCUGAGAUGGCUGCGGGAGAAGGAAAAGCAGAAGCCUCUUCCCUUAAGGCUAGCAAAGCCGCUUCAGCACUCUUCCGGGCUCAGAAUAAUCUCUUCCCCCCCUCCCCUUUUCCCUUAAAGGCUAUGGUCCUAGGGACUUGCCCCUUUAAAUCUGCAGCCUCAGGGGCACGCAGAAGAAGGCUCAAAAGAUCCAGUUACACUACCUGGUCUUAGAUCCUUGCAAAUUCCCCAAACUGCCUUCCUCAGAAUAAUAAUAAAUAGCCAAUUUUGUGAUGGGGGGUGGUUUUCUAACAAGCCUCUAACUCCCUCUCUCUGUCUUUAAGUUUGCACUAUGUCACUGUAUUUGUAUUGUAUUUGUCCUGUCAAUUUGUCUCUCGGUGUGUGUCUCUGUAUCUGUACCUUGUAAGAUUUCAAAUGCAGGCAGCCAGAGACUUAUCUAAGGGCUGCAACUAGGAAAAUGACAAAUUUGUAAAAUUCCUUUCCUUGUGGGUCCAGGCCUGGCCAGCCUAGACCCAGAGUGAAAAAUUAGCUACAGCUAAAGACAUCUUAGCAGAUUCUGGAGAUUUCGAGCUUAUUCAUUAAAAAGUUGGGAAGUUGAUCAUUUUGGGAUUGUUGGAGAAAACUUCUGAGACUAGGGGUAAUUCCAGGAGCUUGCCCUCUACUAAAACACCUCCUCCCCAUCCUGAUUCCUCAGCAUUCCCCACUCUUUCAUCAGAGAUAAGUAUCUCUGAUGUAUGGGGAUUGUAAAAGAGAAGAGAAUGCUGGAGAAUUAUAGGGAAAAUUUAGAUCAGCCUUCCCUAUCUAGUAAAAGGGGAAGGGUAGCUAUCACAGACUAGCAGUGGCCAUAACGGGCCCUGUGCCCCUUGGUACCUUGCAGCCCACCCCUCUAAAGCAAAGCCUGGGAGUAACAUCCAUGUUCAAUUCAUUCUGCCCCACCCUGCCCCAGCAGCUACAAACGGCACCAGCCUCAGUAAAUUCUGCAACUUGUGGGAAGGGGAGAGGUAGACAGGUCAGACCUAUGAUGAGAUUCCCUAAGCCCUGCCACCAAGAAUUAUCACCACUGGCAACGCCCUGGCAUCAGCCAACCCAGCCCCUGGAAGGCCUGGCAGUAGCAUUAUGAGGUGAGAAGCCAACUUCUACUCUUGGUAAGCCCCAUACUUCUCUGUUUCAGUUUUGGAAUUCAUGGCAAGUUAUUUUAUCUUUACUUGUCCUGUUUACUGAUUUGUAAAGGGAAAAAUAAUAAUGUUUGUUGUUACAGGAUCAAAAUGAUGUAAUGAUUGUAAAGUACUUAAAACAAUGACUGGCAUAUGUUAGGCAACAUUAUUAUUCUCUCUCUCUAAUUUAAUGUAAUUGUUCCAUACCUGAUAACUUUGAAGUGUUUUUUAAAUACCAAAAGUCAUAAGAUCAAUAAUCUGUAUAUGUGGUAUGUCUGGAAAUGCAACUAAUGUCAUCUGAAGUUUGUUGUUUGUGUUAUUACUAUGUUUCUAAAUUGUAUUGUAUUUCUAAGACUCUUAGAUUGUAAAAUUUGAGAGACCAUUGUGAAAUAGAAAUGGUGCAUAUGGAUUGGUCUUUUAAAAGAAUGUGAUAAAAAUGAGAAUUUGAAAACUGUUAAUAUUUAAUGAGGUAUAUUUGGUUAUGAGGAGGUAAUUAAUUGGUUCUGUGUGGUAUACCCCCUCCUCAAAAUAAAGAUUUCUCAGAGCCUAUUAAUCCAGCAAGGAGAUGAUUUAUUAACUUCCUCGAGGAAGGAAGGCAUCAAAGUUCCUCGAUGCAGCAAGGCAGGCAAGCAAAAAGGGAGAGCACUGGCUUUUCCCCUCAUACAGUUUUUAAAGCAAAAAACCACAGUUUCACAAACCCCACCUAUCCCUGACCACAGGGCUUACAAUCUUAUUGCUCUUAGCAAUCUAUUUUAUUGGGGGCUAGUUCCAGGAAGGCACACGUGUGUUUCACGCGGAGCAGGAUGUGCCUACGACAGUGGGAUUUUGUUUUUGAGGUUUUAUCAGCAUCUCCCAGUAGACUUUUUGACAAAAUCAAACUUAACCCUGAGGGGCCUGCACUAUUAUGAGCCUCCCACACAGUUCUGUUUCAAGUUUUAAAUACAUAAUAAUUGCUUAUGGUAUGGUUAUAUUUCUGAAUUUUUUAUAUGGUGUAAUCUGGUAAACAAAUUAUAUCAGCUAUGUUGCUGAAAAAGCAAUUUCUCUUAUAAUCUAGAGAUGUUAGACCAAAAAAAAAAAUCAGGGAGAAUAAAUGAGUUAGAAUAAACUUCCAAGUUUUGUCUGUAUGUAAGAGGAAGUUUCACCUAAAAUUCUUAUCAAGUCUGUGUAAAAGUUUCCUGUGUUGUAGAAUUCCUGAGUAAAUGAGAAUCCUGAGGAUAUGUUAACUGGAGAUUUAUGGACUACCACAUUCACUAUCUAUGUGAGAUUCCAGAAUAUAAUAGUUUUUUUCCUAAUUUGCAGUGAUAUAUUUAAAGACAAAGGAAAGAAAGGCUUGAUAAUAUUUGUUAUUGUGAUAAGGCUAAUUUAACUGGGAAUGUGUGGGACAGUUGACCACUGAAAUCAAGAGUUCAGAGUCUGAAUCAGAGAUCAGAAAGGGUCUUUAUUCUUUCUCACGAGAAAAGGCACAGCCCUUGUGGCUGCUCAAGUAGGGGCAGCCAGGGAGUGGGGCAGCUAGCUGUAAGAAGCAAAGUUUUAUAGCCCUAACGCAUGCCCCCUCCCACUCUCUUACCUCUUUCCCCCACUGGCUGGGUACUCAAGGCGUACAAUCUAAAUGUGGCAACUGGUACCCAGUAGAAGCAAACAUACCCAUAUUUGGGAACUAGAUGUAUGCAUGCUUCAGGAAGUGGGAGUGACCAGGAAUGGCCUGUGCUGACAUGGAUUUUUGAGAAAGGUGAAACUCAACUCAGGGCUUAGGCCUGAGGAAACUGUACUUUAGGCCAUCUCUCACAGGAAUGUUCUUCAUGCAUUAUAAAAACUGAAUUUCUUCUCCAUU
This is a long non-coding RNA of Phascolarctos cinereus (koala), 5843 nucleotides long. RefSeq lists it as uncharacterized. Lineage: Eukaryota; Metazoa; Chordata; Mammalia; Diprotodontia; Phascolarctidae. The record is from RefSeq and is a predicted model, not a curated record.